AGUGGAUCGUGCGGAGCAAGCAUCACACCAUGGCGUAUGAGUGUUCCUCUGUGUAGACUCAACCUGCGCCUCGCCGUCCCCCAUUCGCACACCCGAUGCCCGGGGGUCGCUACGGACUUAAAAUCUCCGCACCGCACCCUCCACCUCAGAAACGUUCCUGGAUCCGAACACUGCCCCCUGACGACCUAGAGAGAUCCCGGCUCCCAGCCCACUGAGUGGCUUCAGCCUCGCUGGUAGGUCUCUCCUCCAAAGCUCUGGAAACAGACUCCUGGGAGUGAGAGGGAGGGGAGCGCAGGCACCGCCCCCUUUCCCCAAGUCCCCCGCCCACUUCAUCCCUCAGGCACCUCCCAACUCCUGGCCUCUCUGCACGAGGCGCCUGCCCCGGGCCCCGCCUACAGGGGACCCAGCUCUUCUUGCAGCCACUGGAAGCUGAUCACCUGGAGUGAAGACCUCACACGAAGAAGUCUGGAAGAAGAGGAAGAGGAAAGAAAAGGAGUCAGGGAUGGCCCUUACUCAGUGACAUGAACUUGGGAAGAGGCUGCACUGGGC
This 549-nucleotide long non-coding RNA is filed under the name Homo sapiens (human). Its description in RNAcentral is "non-protein coding lnc-ZNF415-4:4". The record is from RNAcentral. Lineage: Eukaryota; Metazoa; Chordata; Mammalia; Primates; Hominidae.